Molecule: ribosomal RNA, 253 nt
Filed under: uncultured bacterium
Lineage: Bacteria
Description: partial 16S ribosomal RNA
Rfam family: Bacterial small subunit ribosomal RNA
Source: RNAcentral
CACGUAGGGUCCGAGCGUUGUCCGGAAUUACUGGGCGUAAAGCGUGCGCAGGCGGUUUUGUAAGUCUGUCGUGAAAUCCCCGGGCUCAACCUGGGAAUUGCGAUGGAGACUGCAAGGCUAGAAUCUGGCAGAGGGGGGUAGAAUUCCACGUGUAGCAGUGAAAUGCGUAGAGAUGUGGAGGAACACCGAUGGCGAAGGCAGCCCCCUGGGUCAAGAUUGACGCUCAUGCACGAAAGCGUGGGGAGCAAACAGG